GGGUCAAUAGCGUAGUGGUUAACGCAUCUGACAAGAAUAUGUAAACCACGUCGUUGAAUCUUACCAGAAGAUCCUCAGUUCAACUCUGAGUUGACCCA
Non-coding RNA from Hymenopellis radicata, 98 nucleotides. The record is from the annotation of a GenBank genome assembly. NCBI's taxonomy places the organism in Eukaryota, Fungi, Basidiomycota, Agaricomycetes, Agaricales, Physalacriaceae.